This is a small nuclear RNA of Neoarius graeffei (lesser salmon catfish), 192 nucleotides long. RefSeq annotates it as U2 spliceosomal RNA. The transcript has a single exon. NCBI's taxonomy places the organism in Eukaryota, Metazoa, Chordata, Actinopteri, Siluriformes, Ariidae. The record is from RefSeq and is a predicted model, not a curated record.
ACAGCAAGCUAUUGCUUUUGGCUAAGAUUGAGUGUCAUAUCUGUUUUUAUCAGUUUAAUAUCUGGUAUGUUCUGUAAAUAAAAAUGUUAUAUUAAGUAAAUUUUUAUAACAGAGAGUUAAAAUAGGGGCUUGUUCUAUAGUAUUGAAGUGUUUCCAAGAAUGGAGUUUUUGUUCAAGAAAGAUACCUUUUUU